CGAAGGCACCCGGAGCUCCUGUUGCCCCCGCGCGGUGUGAAGACAGCGAGUGACAUCCCCGCGCCGCUACCACCGGCUCGGGCCCGCGCGGAGACUACAGCUCCCGGCAGCCCCGCGCCGGCCCGCGCCCCCGCCCCUCGCGCGCCCCCGCCCCGCACGCCCCGGCCCCCCGCCCUCAGGCCUCAGGACGGGACAGGGAGGAGGAGAGAGGAAGGGGCCGCCAGCGGCGGGCGGGAUUCUGCGAGGCGCGUGAAGCCUCGCUGGCGCCUCGUCCGCGAUCCAGACGCUGGCGGGCGCGGAGUUUCUCACGACCGGCCGAGCCCGCCUCUCCUCGCUCGGAGUUGUUCUCACCCCCACCCCCGGGAGCUCGCUCUUAAGAUGAAACACUGAGGAGUGCGACUGUUUCUUUGAGCAAUACAAAUAACCACAUACUACUCGGUUGCCUGUUGGAUAUUUUAUUUGAAGUCAUCGCGAUCAGAAGCAUGGGCCUUGCACUCUGCAGGUUCAAAAGCCAUUUGCUUUCAUAAUCUGUUCUCAGAUUUGCCUAAGGAUUAAUAGGUUUGUAUGUCUGUAGUUCCUGAAAACUGCUUCAGUUCAGCUCACAAGACUUGAAGCAACUCUGACCCAUCUCUAGGCCAUGAUUAUUUCUCUCUUUCUGAGCUCUUUAUCCA
RNAcentral lists this long non-coding RNA (671 nucleotides) under Equus asinus (donkey). Its description in RNAcentral is "lncRNA (ENSEASG00005028580.1)". Lineage: Eukaryota; Metazoa; Chordata; Mammalia; Perissodactyla; Equidae. The record is from RNAcentral.